RNAcentral lists this ribosomal RNA (526 nucleotides) under uncultured bacterium. Its description in RNAcentral is "bacterial SSU rRNA". It matches the Rfam family "Bacterial small subunit ribosomal RNA", at positions 122 to 659 of the family's 1533-position model. The record is from RNAcentral.
CAACCUGCCCCAGACACCGGGAUAACCAUCCGAAAGGAUGGCUAAUACCGGAUACGACCACUUUGGGCAUCCAACGGUGGUGGAAAGGAUUCUGGUCUGGGAUGGGCCGCGGCCUAUCAGCUUGUUGGUGGGGGUAAUGGCCUACCAAGGCGACGACGGGUAGCCGGCCUGAGAGGGCGACCGGCCACACUGGGACUGAGACACGGCCCAGACUCCUACGGGAGGCAGCAGGUGGGGAAUAUUGCGCAAUGGGACGAAAGCCUGACGCAGCGACGCCGCGUGAGGGACGAAGGUCUUCGGAUUGUAAACCUCUUUCAGCAGGGACGAAGCGAAAGUGACUGUACCUGCAGAAGAAGCACCGGCUAACUACGUGCCAGCAGCCGCGGUAAUACGUAGGGUGCAAGCGUUGUCCGGAUUUAUUGGGCGUAAAGAGCUCGUAGGCGGUUUGUCGCGUCGGAUGUGAAAACCCAAUGGCUUAACCUUGGGCCUGCAUUCGAUACGGGCAAACUAGAGUGUGGUAGGGGAG